GACGAACGCUGGCGGCGUGCUUAACACAUGCAAGUCGAACGGAAAGGCCCUGCUUUUGUGGGGUGCUCGAGUGGCGAACGGGUGAGUAACACGAGUGUAACCUGCCCUUGACUUUGGGAUAACUUCAGGAAACUGGGGCUAAUACCGGAUAGGAGCUCCUGCUGCAUGGUGGGGGUUGGAAAGUUUCGGCGGUUGGGGAUGGACUCGCGGCUUAUCAGCUUGUUGGUGGGGUAGUGGCUUACCAAGGCUUUGACGGGUAGCCGGCCUGAGAGGGUGACCGGCCACAUUGGGACUGAGAUACGGCCCAGACUCCUACGGGAGGCAGCAGUGGGGAAUAUUGCACAAUGGGCGGAAGCCUGAUGCAGCGACGCCGCGUGCGGGAUGACGGCCUUCGGGUUGUAAACCGCUUUCACCUGUGACGAAGCGUGAGUGACGGUAAUGGGUGAAGAAGCACCGGCUAACUACGUG
This 468-nucleotide ribosomal RNA is filed under the name uncultured bacterium. RNAcentral's name for it is "partial 16S ribosomal RNA". It matches the Rfam family "Bacterial small subunit ribosomal RNA", at positions 28 to 507 of the family's 1533-position model. The record is from RNAcentral.